Long non-coding RNA from Malaclemys terrapin pileata, 678 nucleotides. RefSeq lists it as uncharacterized. Lineage: Eukaryota; Metazoa; Chordata; Testudines; Emydidae. The transcript is spliced from 3 exons. The record is from RefSeq and is a predicted model, not a curated record.
AUAAGAGGGCUGGGGCCAGAAGCUGAACACAUAGAGAGUCUCUCUCUAGUUGUUGAGAGGGAUGGGCCUGGCUGCUGGGAGCUGAGCAGGGUACCUAAAGUGGAGCAGGGCUGGGGAAAGGCCAGAAGAGCUGGGGAGCUUUGUCCUGGAAAACCCCCAGGCUGCAGGCCUUGUUAAAGGCCAAGAAGGGUACUGGGGUUGCAGAUGAGCAGCCCAAGGGUAGGCAGAGGCAGCAGGUCUAAACCCUCCUUGCCGAUCAUGAGUGGCAAUUAUAUUGCAAUUCACCUCAGUGAGCGGGGGCUAGAUGGUGACUGGCAGUAGCCAAAGACAGAGGCGAGGUGGGGAUAAGGGGUUGGUGGUUCCCUGUGGAGGGGAGACCCAGCGAGACUGCGGGGUACUGUAUGGGGCGGAACCCUGAGGUAAGGGGCACCAGGGCCAGCGGCAAGCAGGACACCGACCUGCAGAGGGCGCUCCUGAGUGGAAAGAGCUAAUUCCCUGGAUGACCAUCAGGAGGUGCUGUCGGAUCCAUCUACAAGAGUUUUGGAAAUAACCAGUGCAAGAUCUACCUCCAGUUUCUGAUGCUGUGCACUGUUCAUUUCUAGGUUUCAAAACAGCAAUAGUGUGGAAGAGGGGAAGAAGAUUUUUAAUGCUGAAAAUGUUGGGCAGGUGGGAAGGCUG